UUAAGCGACUAAGCGUACACGGUGGAUGCCCUGGCAGUCAGAGGCGAUGAAGGACGUGCUAAUCUGCGAUAAGCGUCGGUAAGGUGAUAUGAACCGUUAUAACCGGCGAUUUCCGAAUGGGGAAACCCAGUGUGAUUCGUCACACUAUCAUUAACUGAAUCCAUAGGUUAAUGAGGCGAACCGGGGGAACUGAAACAUCUAAGUACCCCGAGGAAAAGAAAUCAACCGAGAUUCCCCAGUAGCGGCGAGCGAACGGGGAGCAGCCCAGAGCCUGAAUCAGUGUGUGUGUUAGUGGAAGCGUCUGGAAAGGCGUGCGAUACAGGGUGACAGCCCCGUACACAAAAAUGCACAUAUUGUGAGCUCGAUGAGUAGGGCGGGACACGUGGUAUCCUGUCUGAAUAUGGGGGGACCAUCCUCCAAGGCUAAAUACUCCUGACUGACCGAUAGUGAACCAGUACCGUGAGGGAAAGGCGAAAAGAACCCCGGCGAGGGGAGUGAAAAAGAACCUGAAACCGUGUACGUACAAGCAGUGGGAGCACGCUUAGGCGUGUGACUGCGUACCUUUUGUAUAAUGGGUCAGCGACUUAUAUUCUGUAGCAAGGUUAACCGAAUAGGGGAGCCGAAGGGAAACCGAGUCUUAACUGGGCGUUAAGUUGCAGGAUAUAGACCCGAAACCCGGUGAUCUAGCCAUGGGCAGGUUGAAGGUUGGGUAACACUAACUGGAGGACCGAACCGACUAAUGUUGAAAAAUUAGCGGAUGACUUGUGGCUGGGGGUGAAAGGCCAAUCAAACCGGGAGAUAGCUGGUUCUCCCCGAAAGCUAUUUAGGUAGCGCCUCGUGAAUUCAUCUCCGGGGGUAGAGCACUGUUUCGGCAAGGGGGUCAUCCCGACUUACCAACCCGAUGCAAACUGCGAAUACCGGAGAAUGUUAUCACGGGAGACACACGGCGGGUGCUAACGUCCGUCGUGAAGAGGGAAACAACCCAGACCGCCAGCUAAGGUCCCAAAGUCAUGGUUAAGUGGGAAACGAUGUGGGAAGGCCCAGACAGCCAGGAUGUUGGCUUAGAAGCAGCCAUCAUUUAAAGAAAGCGUAAUAGCUCACUGGUCGAGUCGGCCUGCGCGGAAGAUGUAACGGGGCUAAACCAUGCACCGAAGCUGCGGCAGCGACACUAUGUGUUGUUGGGUAGGGGAGCGUUCUGUAAGCCUGUGAAGGUGUACUGUGAGGUAUGCUGGAGGUAUCAGAAGUGCGAAUGCUGACAUAAGUAACGAUAAAGCGGGUGAAAAGCCCGCUCGCCGGAAGACCAAGGGUUCCUGUCCAACGUUAAUCGGGGCAGGGUGAGUCGACUCCUAAGGCGAGGCCGAAAGGCGUAGUCGAUGGGAAACAGGUUAAUAUUCCUGUACUUGGUGUUACUGCGAAGGGGGGACGGAGAAGGCUAUGUUGGCCGGGCGACGGUUGUCCCGGUUUAAGCGUGUAGGCUGGUUUUCCAGGCAAAUCCGGAAAACUAAGGCUGAGGCGUGAUGACGAGGCACUACGGUGCUGAAGCAACAAAUGCCCUGCUUCCAGGAAAAGCCUCUAAGCAUCAGGUAACAUCAAAUCGUACCCCAAACCGACACAGGUGGUCAGGUAGAGAAUACCAAGGCGCUUGAGAGAACUCGGGUGAAGGAACUAGGCAAAAUGGUGCCGUAACUUCGGGAGAAGGCACGCUGAUAUGUAGGUGAAGUCCCUCGCGGAUGGAGCUGAAAUCAGUCGAAGAUACCAGCUGGCUGCAACUGUUUAUUAAAAACACAGCACUGUGCAAACACGAAAGUGGACGUAUACGGUGUGACGCCUGCCCGGUGCCGGAAGGUUAAUUGAUGGGGUCAGCGCAAGCGAAGCUCUUGAUCGAAGCCCCGGUAAACGGCGGCCGUAACUAUAACGGUCCUAAGGUAGCGAAAUUCCUUGUCGGGUAAGUUCCGACCUGCACGAAUGGCGUAAUGAUGGCCAGGCUGUCUCCACCCGAGACUCAGUGAAAUUGAACUCGCUGUGAAGAUGCAGUGUACCCGCGGCAAGACGGAAAGACCCCGUGAACCUUUACUAUAGCUUGACACUGAACAUUGAGCCUUGAUGUGUAGGAUAGGUGGGAGGCUUUGAAGUGUGGACGCCAGUCUGCAUGGAGCCGACCUUGAAAUACCACCCUUUAAUGUUUGAUGUUCUAACGUUGACCCGUAAUCCGGGUUGCGGACAGUGUCUGGUGGGUAGUUUGACUGGGGCGGUCUCCUCCUAAAGAGUAACGGAGGAGCACGAAGGUUGGCUAAUCCUGGUCGGACAUCAGGAGGUUAGUGCAAUGGCAUAAGCCAGCUUGACUGCGAGCGUGACGGCGCGAGCAGGUGCGAAAGCAGGUCAUAGUGAUCCGGUGGUUCUGAAUGGAAGGGCCAUCGCUCAACGGAUAAAAGGUACUCCGGGGAUAACAGGCUGAUACCGCCCAAGAGUUCAUAUCGACGGCGGUGUUUGGCACCUCGAUGUCGGCUCAUCACAUCCUGGGGCUGAAGUAGGUCCCAAGGGUAUGGCUGUUCGCCAUUUAAAGUGGUACGCGAGCUGGGUUUAGAACGUCGUGAGACAGUUCGGUCCCUAUCUGCCGUGGGCGCUGGAGAACUGAGGGGGCUGCUCCUAGUACGAGAGGACCGGAGUGGACGCAUCACUGGUGUUCGGGUUGUCAUGCCAAUGGCACUGCCCGGUAGCUAAAUGCGGAAGAGAUAAGUGCUGAAAGCAUCUAAGCACGAAACUUGCCCCGAGAUGAGUUCUCCCUGACUCCUUGAGAGUCCUGAAGGAACGUUGAAGACGACGACGUUGAUAGGCCGGGUGUGUAAGCGCAGCGAUGCGUUGAGCUAACCGGUACUAAUGAACCGUGAGGCUUAACCUU
RNAcentral lists this ribosomal RNA (2899 nucleotides) under Shigella dysenteriae. Its description in RNAcentral is "bacterial LSU rRNA". It matches the Rfam family "Bacterial large subunit ribosomal RNA". The record is from RNAcentral. Lineage: Bacteria; Pseudomonadati; Pseudomonadota; Gammaproteobacteria; Enterobacterales; Enterobacteriaceae.